Long non-coding RNA from Amblyraja radiata (thorny skate), 147 nucleotides. RefSeq lists it as uncharacterized. The record is from RefSeq and is a predicted model, not a curated record. The transcript has 3 exons. NCBI's taxonomy places the organism in Eukaryota, Metazoa, Chordata, Chondrichthyes, Rajiformes, Rajidae.
CCCAUUAUCAAAUAUCUCAUGCAGAUGUCCCAACAAAUCCUUGGGAAAUCUCAUGCAAGCCAUUCCCUCCCUGUGUAGUCUUUUAGCCUCAGUACCUCACCAUAUAACAAAUACAGCACAGAAACAGAUCCUUCGGCCCUCCGAGUC